This 253-nucleotide ribosomal RNA is filed under the name uncultured bacterium. Its description in RNAcentral is "partial 16S ribosomal RNA". It matches the Rfam family "Bacterial small subunit ribosomal RNA", at positions 524 to 776 of the family's 1533-position model. The record is from RNAcentral.
UACAGAGGGUGCAAGCGUUAAUCGGAAUUACUGGGCGUAAAGCGUGCGUAGCCGGUUAUGUAAGUCGGGUGUGAAAGCCCCGGGCUCAACCUGGGAAUUGCAUUCGAGACUGCAUAGCUAGGGUGCGGAAGAGGGAAGCGGAAUUUCCGGUGUAGCGGUGAAAUGCGUAGAUAUCGGAAGGAACACCAGUGGCGAAAGCGGCUUCCUGGUCCAGCACCGACGUUCAGGCACGAAAGCGUGGGGAGCAAACAGG